AUUGAACGUUGGCGGCAGGCCUAAUACAUGCAAGUCGAGCGGUAACAGAUCGCUGUGAUCCCUUCGGGGUGAACUUGAUGCUGACGAGCGGCGGACGGGUGAGUAACGCGUAGGAAUCUACCCAGUAGCGGGGGAUAGCCCGAGGAAACUCGGAUUAAUACCGCAUACGCCCCACGGGGGAAAGGCGGGGAUCUCUUCGGAGACCUGUCACUAUUGGAGGAGCCUGCGUUGGAUUAGCUAGUUGGUGGGGUAAAGGCCCACCAAGGCGACGAUCCAUAGCUGGUCUGAGAGGACGAUCAGCCACACUGGAACUGAGACACGGUCCAG
RNAcentral lists this ribosomal RNA (327 nucleotides) under uncultured bacterium. RNAcentral describes it as "bacterial SSU rRNA". It matches the Rfam family "Bacterial small subunit ribosomal RNA", at positions 30 to 334 of the family's 1533-position model. The record is from RNAcentral.